Long non-coding RNA from Ornithodoros turicata, 671 nucleotides. RefSeq lists it as uncharacterized. The record is from RefSeq and is a predicted model, not a curated record. The transcript is spliced from 4 exons. NCBI's taxonomy places the organism in Eukaryota, Metazoa, Arthropoda, Arachnida, Ixodida, Argasidae.
UCGCUGCGUUCGUGCCUGUGCGCUGCAACCUCGCCUUUGAAAGGACGACAACCUUGCUUUCUAAUUACAAGUUUAAUGUCUGCUUAAGACGAUGGACACAUUGCAAAUGGCGGCAGGAGUGGAUCGGCUACAUCGGUGAAGCGACGAUUUAUAUUACAAGAGAGGCUAAUUGUAUUCUUUCGUUACAGGUGAACGUGGGACUGUAUCGACUGCAAGGACGUAGUGUCCUGUCUCAACGGUCACGCAUAUGCGUGCAAAACUGCAGCUGCUUCUCACAUCGAAGAGGGAUCUGGUGCCACAUGCUCGGACAAUUAUUCGUCGGCCAUUUCGUUUGGGGAACUGUCGUGUUCGUCACUAAGGAUGGCCUUGGUUGAGCUUUGCAGUGCCAGCCUGGUGCAUCGGAGGGGUUGUGUCCAUGCAACGUGUGCUUCAUAUGUGUGUGUUGGGAUUUGUGAACCGUGUAUGCUUUCCAUUCAGCCAACGAUGAUGUACUGGAUGAAAUUUAAAGGAUUUUCCCCCUGUGAAGCACAACAUUAGAACCGAAACCCGACCCAUCGUGCAAGACCUCCUAAUAGUGAAAAGCUGAUGACGCCAGAAGAGGGUCUUUUUAGGAACGCGCCGCGUGGCAUACCAAUGGCAAGACGUGCACAGGUCGUCAAAGGAGGGAAUUC